Molecule: ribosomal RNA, 478 nt
Filed under: uncultured bacterium
Lineage: Bacteria
Description: bacterial SSU rRNA
Rfam family: Bacterial small subunit ribosomal RNA
Source: RNAcentral
UUGAACGCUGGCGGCAUGCCUAACACAUGCAAGUCGCACGCGAAAGGGGGCAACCCUGAGUAGAGUGGCGGACGGGUGAGUAACGCGUAGGAAUCUACCUGGUAGUGGGGGACAACCCGGUGAAAACCGGGCUAAUACCGCAUACGAUCCACGGAUGAAAGCAGGGGACCGCAAGGCCUUGCGCUAUCAGAUGAGCCUGCGUCGGAUUAGCUAGUUGGUGAGGUAACGGCUCACCAAGGCGACGAUCCGUAGCUGGUUUGAGAGAACGACCAGCCACACCGGAACUGAGACACGGUCCGGACUCCUACGGGAGGCAGCAGUGGGGAAUAUUGGACAAUGGGGGCAACCCUGAUCCAGCAAUGCCGCGUGUGUGAAGAAGGCCUUCGGGUUGUAAAGCACUUUCGGUGGGGACAAACAAGGCGGAGCUAACAUCUCCGUCCCUGAUGGUACCCAAAGAAGAAGCACCGGCUAACUCUGU